Molecule: ribosomal RNA, 253 nt
Filed under: uncultured bacterium
Lineage: Bacteria
Description: partial 16S ribosomal RNA
Rfam family: Bacterial small subunit ribosomal RNA
Source: RNAcentral
UACGUAGGGUGCAAGCGUUGUCCGGAAUUAUUGGGCGUAAAGAGCUCGUAGGCGGUUUGUUACGUCGGCUGUGAAAUCCCGAGGCUCAACCUCGGGUCUGCAGUCGAUACGGGCGGACUGGAGUUCGGCAGGGGAGACUGGAAUUCCUGGUGUAGCGGUGAAAUGCGCAGAUAUCAGGAGGAACACCGGUGGCGAAGGCGGGUCUCUGGGCCGAUACUGACGCUGAGGAGCGAAAGCGUGGGGAGCGAACAGG